Molecule: unclassified non-coding RNA, 346 nt
Filed under: soil metagenome
Description: partial contains 5.8S ribosomal RNA, internal transcribed spacer 2, and large subunit ribosomal RNA
Rfam family: 5.8S ribosomal RNA (bases 6-121)
Source: RNAcentral
GAUGAAAGAACGCAGCGAAAUGCGAUAAGUAAUGUGAAUUGCAGAAUUCAGUGAAUCAUCGAGUCUUUGAACGCACAUUGCGCCCUCUGGUAUUCCGGAGGGCAUGCCUGUCCGAGCGUCAUUGCUGCCCUCAAGCACGGCUUGUGUGUUGGGCCCCGCCCCCCGAUCCCGGGGGGCGGGCCCGAAAGGCAGCGGCGGCACCGCGUCCGGUCCUCGAGCGUAUGGGGCUUUGUCACCCGCUCUGUAGGCCCGGCCGGCGCUUGCCGAUCAACCAAACUUUUUUCCAGGUUGACCUCGGAUCAGGUAGGGAUACCCGCUGAACUUAAGCAUAUCAAUAAGCGGAGGA